Molecule: microRNA precursor, 95 nt
Organism: Ictidomys tridecemlineatus (thirteen-lined ground squirrel)
Lineage: Eukaryota; Metazoa; Chordata; Mammalia; Rodentia; Sciuridae
Source: Ensembl
CUUAUGGUAUCUGAAGAUGCGGUUGACCAUGGUGUGUACGCUUUAUUUAUGACGUAGGACACAUGGUCUGCUUCUUCUCAAUAUCACAUCUCGCC